Molecule: long non-coding RNA, 823 nt
Filed under: Ananas comosus (pineapple)
Lineage: Eukaryota; Viridiplantae; Streptophyta; Magnoliopsida; Poales; Bromeliaceae
Description: long non-coding RNA (ACOM_LNC017764)
Source: RNAcentral
UAUAGAGUUAGACUGGUAUACUAUCGGUAGUAUGGAGGCUUCCGUGUUACCAAGUUAUUUUCAAUGAUGCAGCUUCCAAAUCGACUAUCGACUCCGUUAGACUUGAUCUACACUAUUAAAAAUAUUUGAAAACUAAAUUUCAUAAUUUUUCGACAUCAUUUGGCUAGUGAUCAAAAGGUCUCAAAAUUGACAAUUUUAAUGGUAGAUAUGAUGCGUUUGUGAAUUUAACGGUGUAAAACAAUUCAAAUCUGAUGAAAUUUUUAUAGAAAAUUCUUUUCACUAUUUAAAGUAAGAUAAGUAUCCUUGAUCUUAAAUUCAAGUUUUUUAUCAUCAUUUUUUAGGAAAUUUUUAUUUUCUGCCGUUCAUUUUUAGACUAUCGUUUGAUAGGUAAAUGAUGCCGAAAAUUUAUGACAUUUAGUUUCCAAAUACUUUUAAUAGUGUAGAUCAAGUCUAAAGGAGCCGAUCGUCGAUUUGGAAGCCGUAUCAUUGAAAACAACUUGGUAGCACGAAGGCCUCCGUACUACCGAUUGUGUACCAGCUUAGCUCUAUAUAUAUAUAUAGAAUUAGGCUGGAAUACUAUUAAUAGUAAAACGCUCUUUUUGCUAUCAAGUUUUUAACCCUUGGAUGAAAAAUUGUAGGGUCAGGAUGAUAUUAGUCGGUUAGAGUUGAGUAGUCCCCCUAGGGUUGAGUGGUCCCCACAGGGUUAUAGUAUUUAAUCCAAUGGUUAGAAAUGAUGAAAAGAGUUGAUCCAAAGGCUAAAAAACUGGUAGCAAUAAUGGGAUACUCUUUUCAUCAUUUCUAACAAUUGGAUUAAAUACUAUAA